CAUGUCCUUUUGAUUAUUAUUUAAGGUCUAAUCUGCUCAAUGAAGUAUUUAAAUUGCCGCAGUAUUCUAACUGUGCAAAGGUAGCAUAAUAAUUAGGGUUUUAAUUGAAUCCUGGAAUGAAUGAUUGAACAAGAAAAUUGCUGUCUCUUUUUGUAUUAUUGAAUUUAAUUUUUAAGUUAAAAAGCUUAAAUAAUAUUUUUAGACGAGAAGACCCUAUAGAGUUUGAUUACAAUUAAUUUUAUUAUUAUUUUGAAAUAAUUUAAUAUAAGAUUUAUUUUAAUUUGGUUGGGGUGACUAAAAAAUAUAAAUAACUUUUUUAUAAAUUUGUUAAUUUUAAUUAAUUUGUAAACCUAAAUUUUUUAAGUUUAAUAUAAAUUACCUUAGGGAUAACAGCGUUAUUUUUAUUUGAAGUUCUUAUUUAAAUUAAAGAUUGCGACCUCGAUGUUGGAUUAAAAUUUACUUUUGGUGCAGAAGCUUGAAAGUUAAGUCUGUUCGACUUUUAAAAUUUUACAUGAUCUGAGU
RNAcentral lists this ribosomal RNA (522 nucleotides) under Inmalthodes sp. UPOL 000M27. RNAcentral's name for it is "partial 16S ribosomal RNA". The stretch from base 386 to 522 matches the Rfam family "Archaeal large subunit ribosomal RNA", at positions 2542 to 2679 of the family's 2987-position model. The record is from RNAcentral. Lineage: Eukaryota; Metazoa; Arthropoda; Insecta; Coleoptera; Cantharidae.